This is a long non-coding RNA of Rosa rugosa (rugosa rose), 700 nucleotides long. RefSeq lists it as uncharacterized. Lineage: Eukaryota; Viridiplantae; Streptophyta; Magnoliopsida; Rosales; Rosaceae. The record is from RefSeq and is a predicted model, not a curated record. The transcript has 4 exons.
UGAUUAACAUCUCAAGAAUUCGUUGUCUUUGAUCACCCCCUUGAGAUUUCUGAGAAAUGGGGGAAAAAGGAAAAAGCUUUUUCUUUGGCAUAUGUUAAGAAGAAUGGCCAAUUACUCAACUUAUGAGAAAGAUGGAAAAUUGGCUACAUUAUCCCAUGGUGUGAAAUGAUGACUAUAGGGUAUUCUAUAUGUUACUGAUGAGUUUAUAAUUUCAGUAUGUGGGGUUUAUUCUUGAAAUUUUGUUUAUUGCGAGUUAAAAAUUUGUUUAAUUUGUUUCUAGAUUAUAUCAAACACAACUGUUUCAAGACCAGACAGAAGACUCUGUUAGUAGAAACCCAGUGGCUUCUGAAGCUGGUGGCUUGAGUGGGAAACCACUAUUUGAUACCUCUACCAGACUCUUAAAGGAUAUGUACCUGUUGACAAGGGUGGCAGGGUUGCUUCAUUUCUUCUGAGGUUGCUGCAUUGGCUUUGAGGGAAUGAAAGAUCUAAAGCUUGAUAGAAACAUAAAGACACACGGCCCUUCUUCAUUAAUGAGUUAAAGUAGAAGACAUUCAUGGACCCUCAUGAUGAAUAUGAUCUGAUGGAACUUGUAUAGUUGUUAUUAGAUUGGAUUGUAAUUUCUAGUUUAGUAAACUUAUGAAAAUGAAUGUGCUCAUAUUUUAGCUAUUAAUUUAUAAUGGUUCGUAAUCAUUUAUGUAAA